RNAcentral lists this ribosomal RNA (376 nucleotides) under uncultured bacterium. RNAcentral's name for it is "bacterial SSU rRNA". It matches the Rfam family "Bacterial small subunit ribosomal RNA", at positions 523 to 898 of the family's 1533-position model. The record is from RNAcentral.
AUACGGAGGGGGCUAGCGUUGUUCGGAAUUACUGGGCGUAAAGCGCGCGUAGGCGGCUGGUCGCGUCAGAUGUGAAAGCCCCGGGCUCAACCUGGGAUGUGCAUUUGAUACGGAUCGGCUUGAAUUCGGGAGAGGGUAGUGGAAUUCCCAGUGUAGAGGUGAAAUUCGUAGAUAUUGGGAAGAACACCGGUGGCGAAGGCGGCUGCCUGGCCCGAGAUUGACGCUGAGGCGCGAGAGCGUGGGGAGCAAACAGGAUUAGAUACCCUGGUAGUCCACGCCGUAAACGAUGUGUGCCAGCCGUUGGGGGGCUUAGCCUCUCAGUGGCGCAGUUAACGCGUUAAGCACACCGCCUGGGGAGUACGGCCGCAAGGUUAAA